UCCACUCAUUGGUUGGUGAUAAAGGGUGAGCCUCCUGGCCGCGCGGCCAAUAAAGGGCAAGAUUCAAGCGGGUUCCGCCUCUUCCGCUGGGGACUGGGUUCUUCCGUUGACACUAGGUCACGUGAGUUCCUUCCUGGGUUGGAUGCUGGGACUCCCACCCGGCCAAUGUUGGGGAGGGAACUGUUCUAACGUCUCAGAAGUUUCUGCUGCAGUAAAGAUUCAAUCACCAGCAUGCUACAGAAGAAGAAAAACAGAUGUGACCCUGGAAAGCCACAUGCAUCACAACAAGGAAUGAAGAGAGAUGCAUCACAAGAUGGGAAACCUUCCAUCAGCCUGUGAUUUUGGGGUUCUAAGUAGAACAAAGCUAACCCAUAAUGAAUAUGUAGCAAAAAUGAGAAGAGCAAAGAUUGGAGGGUUAAGCCAUCUCAGAGCAUAAUCAAGCCUAUCAUAAUUAAAAUGAUGAAGAAACAGACCCAAGACACACUAAAUAACAUGUAAUAGUGUAUUCUAGUGGCCUAUUCUGAUGCCUUUUACAAUUUAUUAUGCUUGUUAUUUUCUACAUUUUAUCACACACAAAUACAGUAGGUAAUAAUUUAAGUUUGGCAGGAGUUCCUAGUUUCUAUUUUCUUUUUCUUGGAGAAUGUUGACCUUUAUCAGCUGAAUUUAUGUAUCUCCUCAAAUAAGGUUUUUA
This is a long non-coding RNA of Eptesicus fuscus (big brown bat), 691 nucleotides long. RefSeq lists it as uncharacterized. Lineage: Eukaryota; Metazoa; Chordata; Mammalia; Chiroptera; Vespertilionidae. The record is from RefSeq and is a predicted model, not a curated record. The transcript has 4 exons.